RNAcentral lists this ribosomal RNA (253 nucleotides) under uncultured bacterium. RNAcentral describes it as "partial 16S ribosomal RNA". It matches the Rfam family "Bacterial small subunit ribosomal RNA", at positions 524 to 776 of the family's 1533-position model. The record is from RNAcentral.
UACGGAGGGUGCAAGCGUUAAUCGGAAUUACUGGGCGUAAAGCGCACGCAGGCGGACAUUUAAGUCAGGUGUGAAAGCCCCGGGCUUAACCUGGGAAUUGCAUUUCAUACUGGGAGUCUAGAGUCAUUUAGGGGGGGGUAGAAUUCCAGGUGUAGCGGUGAAAUGCGUAGAGAUGUGGAGGAAUACCGAUGGCGAAGGCAGCCCCGUGGAAAAGGACUGACGCUCAUGUGCGAAAGCGUGGGGAGCAAACAGG